GGAUGGAUGUCUGAGCGGUUGAAAGAAUCGGUCUUGAAAACCGAAGUAUUGAUAGGAAUACCGGGGGUUCGAAUCCCUCUCCAUCCG
Molecule: transfer RNA, 87 nt
Filed under: Calophyllum soulattri
Lineage: Eukaryota; Viridiplantae; Streptophyta; Magnoliopsida; Malpighiales; Calophyllaceae
Description: tRNA-Ser
Rfam family: tRNA
About the family: Transfer RNA (tRNA) molecules are approximately 80 nucleotides in length. Their secondary structure includes four short double-helical elements and three loops (D, anti-codon, and T loops).
Source: RNAcentral